RNAcentral lists this ribosomal RNA (495 nucleotides) under uncultured soil bacterium. Its description in RNAcentral is "bacterial SSU rRNA". It matches the Rfam family "Bacterial small subunit ribosomal RNA", at positions 26 to 485 of the family's 1533-position model. The record is from RNAcentral.
AGAUUGAACGCUGGCGGCAGGCCUAACACAUGCAAGUCGAGCGGCAGCACGGGUACUUGUACCUGGUGGCGAGCGGCGGACGGGUGAGUAAUGCCUAGGAAUCUGCCUGAUAGUGGGGGGAUAACGUUCGGAAACGGACGCUAAUACCGCAUACGUCCUACGGGAGAAAGUGGGGGAUCUUCGGACCUCACGCUAUCAGAUGGGCCUAGGUCGGAUUAGCUAGUUGGUAGGUAAAGGCCUACCAAGGCUACGAUCCGUAACUGGUCUGAGAGGAUGAUCAGUCACACUGGAACUGAGACACGGUCCAGACUCCUACGGGAGGCCAGCAGUGGGGAAUAUUGGACAAGUGGGCGAAAAGCCUAGAUACCAGCCAUCGCCGCGGUGUGUACGGAAGAAGGUUCUUCGGAGUUGAAAGUCUAACGUUUAACGGUUGGGAAGGUAAGGACUAAGUUAACCGUUAAGUACGUUAAGUUGUUUUUAGACGUUACCGACUAG